GACGAACCGUCCUAACGUUGUUCGGAAUCACUGGGCUUAAAGGGCGCGUAGGCGGGCUGCCAAGUCCGGGGUGAAAUCUUUCGGCUUAACCGGAAAAGGGCCUUGGAAACUGGCAGCCUCGAGGGGGGUAGGGGCCUGUGGAACUUCGGGUGGAGCGGUGAAAUGCGUUGAUAUCCGAAGGAACGCCGGUGGCGAAAGCGACGGGCUGGACCCCUUCUGACGCUGAGGCGCGAAAGCCAGGGGAGCAAACGGG
Molecule: ribosomal RNA, 253 nt
Filed under: uncultured bacterium
Lineage: Bacteria
Description: partial 16S ribosomal RNA
Rfam family: Bacterial small subunit ribosomal RNA
Source: RNAcentral